This 132-nucleotide transfer-messenger RNA is filed under the name Sulfurovum sp. RNAcentral describes it as "partial transfer-messenger RNA". It matches the Rfam family "transfer-messenger RNA", at positions 236 to 374 of the family's 374-position model. From Rfam's summary of the family: Bacterial tmRNA, also known as 10Sa RNA or SsrA, is named for its dual tRNA and mRNA-like properties. Lineage: Bacteria; Pseudomonadati; Campylobacterota; Epsilonproteobacteria; Campylobacterales; Sulfurovaceae. The record is from RNAcentral.
GAAUCUUAGCUCGUCUAGCAAAGUUUUGAGUGUAGUACAAAACUAGAUUAAAAUUAACAACACUGACUAAGCAUGUAGAGUCAUAGUUCUAGCUAUUUUAGGACAGGGGUUCAAUUCCCCUCACCUCCACCA